Non-coding RNA from Podarcis lilfordi (Lilford's wall lizard), 69 nucleotides. NCBI's taxonomy places the organism in Eukaryota, Metazoa, Chordata, Lepidosauria, Squamata, Lacertidae. The record is from the annotation of a GenBank genome assembly.
GUCAUAGCCUAAUGGUAGAGCAUCAGCUUUGUAUGCUGAAGUUCCUGGGUUCGACCCCCAGUAUCUCCU